CCUGACAGGUUAAUAACCAUGUUGCUGGACGGCAGUUUUUGAGGCUGAUGGUUAUUAGAGAUAUACCCAUUCGAUGGCGUUCAAGUUGCAGUCCAUUGGGCGAGUGUUGGUCCGUUUGUGAUAGAAAGAAAAGAGAAGAGAGAUCAAGGUGGGCCGAAAGAACCGGCAUGCCUAAGCUACAAUUCUGAUGAGAAACUAUCUACCAAGAAACCGCACUGCUGGCCGUUAUCAAGACGAGCGGAUAGCCACGCCACUACUGACAUCACGCGCGCGCAGAAUUGCUAUCAGGCCCAUAAAUAACCUUGACGAACCCUAGUCCAUGCAUGCAAGGCAGACGAGUUUCGCUAGAUAGCAAUCCAAUCGUGUUGUCAGAGGAGAGUGCAUUGAAAGUAAAGCGAGAAUUCGUGUAGUACAUCCAGUACGGGAAAUAAAAUAGUCCAAUCCACCCAGCUUCCCUCCCUUACGCUGAAAUGAUUGCUGCGGGGUGAGGAGAAGAGGACUGAGCGGUAGGUCUAACCAGGGUCC
RNAcentral lists this small RNA (525 nucleotides) under Histoplasma ohiense. RNAcentral describes it as "hypothetical lncRNA". Lineage: Eukaryota; Fungi; Ascomycota; Eurotiomycetes; Onygenales; Ajellomycetaceae. The record is from RNAcentral.